This 520-nucleotide ribosomal RNA is filed under the name uncultured bacterium. RNAcentral describes it as "bacterial SSU rRNA". It matches the Rfam family "Bacterial small subunit ribosomal RNA", at positions 367 to 891 of the family's 1533-position model. The record is from RNAcentral.
CAGAGCGGGGGCGAGGCUGACAGCGAGUAGCGUGAGGAUGACUGCCCUAUGGGUUGUAAACUUCUUUUAUAAAGGAAUAAAGUCGGGUAUGCAUACCCGUUUGCAUGUACUUUAUGAAUAAGGAUCGGCUAACUCCGUGCCAGCAGCCGCGGUAAUACGGAGGAUCCGAGCGUUAUCCGGAUUUAUUGGGUUUAAAGGGAGCGUAGAUGGAUGUUUAAGUCAGUUGUGAAAGUUUGCGGCUCAACCGUAAAAUUGCAGUUGAUACUGGAUGUCUUGAGUGCAGUUGAGGCAGGCGGAAUUCGUGGUGUAGCGGUGAAAUGCUUAGAUAUCACGAAGAACUCCGAUUGCGAAGGCAGCCUGCUAAGCUGCAACUGACAUUGAGGCUCGAAAGUGUGGGUAUCAAACAGGAUUAGAUACCCUGGUAGUCCACACGGUAAACGAUGAAUACUCGCUGUUUGCGAUAUACGGCAAGCGGCCAAGCGAAAGCGUUAAGUAUUCCACCUGGGGAGUACGCCGGCAA